CCGAGUUGUAACACUCACAAACCCACUGCAAACGUACCCAUAUUGGCGACUCCGGCAGGCGGCCCCAGGGCGGGGCCUCAGCCUUUUCAGGCGCCUGCCGAAGGUGCCGCAAUUUUACUCUGUAAAUCAUGUAUUCUGAGUCCUGAGACAAAAUAUCA
RNAcentral lists this unclassified non-coding RNA (158 nucleotides) under uncultured fungus. Its description in RNAcentral is "sequence contains ITS1, 5.8S rRNA gene". Lineage: Eukaryota; Fungi. The record is from RNAcentral.